Molecule: ribosomal RNA, 607 nt
Filed under: uncultured bacterium
Lineage: Bacteria
Description: bacterial SSU rRNA
Rfam family: Bacterial small subunit ribosomal RNA (bases 1-544)
Source: RNAcentral
CCUACGGGAGGCAGCAGUGAGGAAUAUUGGACAAUGGGCGCAAGCCUGAUCCAGCCAUGCCGCGUGCAGGAAGAAGCAUCUAUGGUGUGUAAACUGCUUUUGUACAGGAAGAAACACUCCCUCGUGAGGGAGCUUGACGGUACUGUAAGAAUAAGGACCGGCUAACUCCGUGCCAGCAGCCGCGGUAAUACGGAGGGUCCGAGCGUUAUCCGGAAUCAUUGGGUUUAAAGGGUCCGUAGGCGGUUUAAUAAGUCAGUGGUGAAAUCUGGUCGCUCAACGAUCAAACGGCCAUUGAUACUGUUAGACUUGAAUUAUAAGGAAGUAACUAGAAUAUGUAGUGUAGCGGUGAAAUGCUUAGAUAUUACAUGGAAUACCAAUUGCGAAGGCAGGUUACUACUUAUGGAUUGACGCUGAUGGACGAAAGCGUGGGAGGCGACAGGAUAGUAUACCUCGUAGUACACGCCGUAACCGAAUGGAGUACUAGCUGUUCGGUAGCGAAUACUGAGUGGUCGUAAGUCGAAAGUAGGAUAAAGUAAUACCCACCCUACGGGGUAGGUAACGUUUCGGCCAAGAAAGUAGUAAACGUACCAAAGGAAAGUUAGUACGG